Molecule: ribosomal RNA, 252 nt
Filed under: uncultured bacterium
Lineage: Bacteria
Description: partial 16S ribosomal RNA
Rfam family: Bacterial small subunit ribosomal RNA
Source: RNAcentral
UACGUAGGGUGCAAGCGUUGUCCGGAAUUAUUGGCGUAAAGAGCUCGUAGGCGGUCUGUCGCGUCUGCUGUGAAAACUCACAGCUUAACUGUGGGCGUGCGGGCGAUACGGGCAGACUGGAGUACUGCAGGGGAGACUGGAAUUCCUGGUGUAGCGGUGGAAUGCGUAGAUAUCGGGAGGAACACCAGUGGCGAAGGCGGUUACCUGGAGCUUUGCUGACGCUGAUGCGCGAAAGCGUGGGGAGCGAUCCGG